GUUCGUGUAUAGCCGCUAAUGCCCGAUUUCCCACCCUUCACACGGGUGGGGUCGCAGGUUCAAUCCCUGCCGCGCCCACCA
Molecule: transfer RNA, 81 nt
Filed under: Novosphingobium sp.
Lineage: Bacteria; Pseudomonadati; Pseudomonadota; Alphaproteobacteria; Sphingomonadales; Sphingomonadaceae
Description: tRNA-Val
Source: RNAcentral